Molecule: ribosomal RNA, 486 nt
Filed under: uncultured bacterium
Lineage: Bacteria
Description: bacterial SSU rRNA
Rfam family: Bacterial small subunit ribosomal RNA
Source: RNAcentral
GAUGAACGCUAGCUACAGGCUUAACACAUGCAAGUCGAGGGGAAACGAUGAGAGAGCUUGCUCUCUCAGGCGUCGACCGGCGCACGGGUGAGUAACACGUAUCCAACCUGCCUUUUUCCAGGGAAUAACCUUGCGAAAGUAAGACUAAUGCCCUAUGUGUCCUCAGACGGCAUCAGACGAGGACGAAAGAUUUAUCGGAAGAGGAUGGGGAUGCGCCUGAUUAGGCAGUUGGCGGGGUAACGGCCCACCAAACCGACGAUCAGUAGGGGUUCUGAGAGGAAGGUCCCCCACAUUGGAACUGAGACACGGUCCAAACUCCUACGGGAGGCAGCAGUGAGGAAUAUUGGUCAAUGGACGAGAGUCUGAACCAGCCAAGUAGCGUGCAGGAUGACGGCCCUAUGGGUUGUAAACUGCUUUUGUACGGGGAUAAAGUGAGCCACGUGUGGUUUAUUGCAGGUACCGUACGAAUAAGGACCGGCUAAUUCC